This 204-nucleotide unclassified non-coding RNA is filed under the name Hevea brasiliensis (rubber tree). The record is from RNAcentral. Lineage: Eukaryota; Viridiplantae; Streptophyta; Magnoliopsida; Malpighiales; Euphorbiaceae.
AGGAGGGCAAGCGUGUGCCGCUGACACGUGUGAGGAUAAGACCGAGCUUAUAUAAGGAGGCUAGAGCUGUAGUGAAGAUUAUCUUCCCUAGAGCUGUGAGCUCUAGGAGGGCAGUGUGUGGAAGGCUUCCUUGGUGGAGUUCUUGGAGGGCGAUGAAUUGUGAAUUGAGAGAAAUUGAGUCGGUCCGUCCUAUUUUCCUCUGAG